This 805-nucleotide ribosomal RNA is filed under the name uncultured Paracoccaceae bacterium. RNAcentral's name for it is "bacterial SSU rRNA". It matches the Rfam family "Bacterial small subunit ribosomal RNA", at positions 33 to 887 of the family's 1533-position model. Lineage: Bacteria; Pseudomonadati; Pseudomonadota; Alphaproteobacteria; Rhodobacterales; Paracoccaceae. The record is from RNAcentral.
ACGCUGGCGGCAGGCCUAACACAUGCAAGUCGAGCGCGCCUUCGGGCGAGCGGCGGACGGGUUAGUAACGCGUGGGAACGUGCCCAGAUCUACGGAAUAGCCACUGGAAACGGUGAGUAAUACCGUAUACGCCCCUUGGGGGAAAGAUUUAUCGGAUUUGGAUCGGCCCGCGUUAGAUUAGGUAGUUGGUGGGGUAAUGGCCUACCAAGCCUACGAUCUAUAGCUGGUUUUAGAGGAUGAUCAGCAACACUGGGACUGAGACACGGCCCAGACUCCUACGGGAGGCAGCAGUGGGGAAUCUUGGACAAUGGGGGCAACCCUGAUCCAGCCAUGCCGCGUGAGUGAAGAAGGCCCUAGGGUCGUAAAACUCUUUCGCCUGUGAUGAUAAUGACAGUAGCAGGUAAAGAAACCCCGGCUAACUCCGUGCCAGCAGCCGCGGUAAUACGGAGGGGGUUAGCGUUGUUCGGAAUUACUGGGCGUAAAGCGCACGUAGGCGGAUUAGAAAGUUAGAGGUGAAAUCCCGGGGCUCAACCCCGGAACUGCCUUUAAAACUACUAGUCUAGAGUUCGAGAGAGGUGAGUGGAAUUCCGAGUGUAGAGGUGAAAUUCGUAGAUAUUCGGAGGAACACCAGUGGCGAAGGCGGCUCACUGGCUCGAUACUGACGCUGAGGUGCGAAAGUGUGGGGAGCAAACAGGAUUAGAUACCCUGGUAGUCCACACCGUAAACGAUGAAUGCCAGUCGUCGGGUAGUAUACUAUUCGGUGACACACCUAACGGAUUAAGCAUUCCGCCUGGGGAGUACGGUC